This 2903-nucleotide ribosomal RNA is filed under the name Escherichia coli. RNAcentral describes it as "bacterial LSU rRNA". It matches the Rfam family "Bacterial large subunit ribosomal RNA". Lineage: Bacteria; Pseudomonadati; Pseudomonadota; Gammaproteobacteria; Enterobacterales; Enterobacteriaceae. The record is from RNAcentral.
UUAAGCGACUAAGCGUACACGGUGGAUGCCCUGGCAGUCAGAGGCGAUGAAGGACGUGCUAAUCUGCGAUAAGCGUCGGUAAGGUGAUAUGAACCGUUAUAACCGGCGAUUUCCGAAUGGGGAAACCCAGUGUGUUUCGACACACUAUCAUUAACUGAAUCCAUAGGUUAAUGAGGCGAACCGGGGGAACUGAAACAUCUAAGUACCCCGAGGAAAAGAAAUCAACCGAGAUUCCCCCAGUAGCGGCGAGCGAACGGGGAGGAGCCCAGAGCCUGAAUCAGUGUGUGUGUUAGUGGAAGCGUCUGGAAAGGCGCGCGAUACAGGGUGACAGCCCCGUACACAAAAAUGCACAUGCUGUGAGCUCGAUGAGUAGGGCGGGACACGUGGUAUCCUGUCUGAAUAUGGGGGGACCAUCCUCCAAGGCUAAAUACUCCUGACUGACCGAUAGUGAACCAGUACCGUGAGGGAAAGGCGAAAAGAACCCCGGCGAGGGGAGUGAAAAAGAACCUGAAACCGUGUACGUACAAGCAGUGGGAGCCUCUUUAUGGGGUGACUGCGUACCUUUUGUAUAAUGGGUCAGCGACUUAUAUUCUGUAGCAAGGUUAACCGAAUAGGGGAGCCGAAGGGAAACCGAGUCUUAACUGGGCGUUAAGUUGCAGGGUAUAGACCCGAAACCCGGUGAUCUAGCCAUGGGCAGGUUGAAGGUUGGGUAACACUAACUGGAGGACCGAACCGACUAAUGUUGAAAAAUUAGCGGAUGACUUGUGGCUGGGGGUGAAAGGCCAAUCAAACCGGGAGAUAGCUGGUUCUCCCCGAAAGCUAUUUAGGUAGCGCCUCGUGAAUUCAUCUCCGGGGGUAGAGCACUGUUUCGGCAAGGGGGUCAUCCCGACUUACCAACCCGAUGCAAACUGCGAAUACCGGAGAAUGUUAUCACGGGAGACACACGGCGGGUGCUAACGUCCGUCGUGAAGAGGGAAACAACCCAGACCGCCAGCUAAGGUCCCAAAGUCAUGGUUAAGUGGGAAACGAUGUGGGAAGGCCCAGACAGCCAGGAUGUUGGCUUAGAAGCAGCCAUCAUUUAAAGAAAGCGUAAUAGCUCACUGGUCGAGUCGGCCUGCGCGGAAGAUGUAACGGGGCUAAACCAUGCACCGAAGCUGCGGCAGCGACGCUUAUGCGUUGUUGGGUAGGGGAGCGUUCUGUAAGCCUGCGAAGGUGUGCUGUGAGGCAUGCUGGAGGUAUCAGAAGUGCGAAUGCUGACAUAAGUAACGAUAAAGCGGGUGAAAAGCCCGCUCGCCGGAAGACCAAGGGUUCCUGUCCAACGUUAAUCGGGGCAGGGUGAGUCGACCCCUAAGGCGAGGCCGAAAGGCGUAGUCGAUGGGAAACAGGUUAAUAUUCCUGUACUUGGUGUUACUGCGAAGGGGGGACGGAGAAGGCUAUGUUGGCCGGGCGACGGUUGUCCCGGUUUAAGCGUGUAGGCUGGUUUUCCAGGCAAAUCCGGAAAAUCAAGGCUGAGGCGUGAUGACGAGGCACUACGGUGCUGAAGCAACAAAUGCCCUGCUUCCAGGAAAAGCCUCUAAGCAUCAGGUAACAUCAAAUCGUACCCCAAACCGACACAGGUGGUCAGGUAGAGAAUACCAAGGCGCUUGAGAGAACUCGGGUGAAGGAACUAGGCAAAAUGGUGCCGUAACUUCGGGAGAAGGCACGCUGAUAUGUAGGUGAAGCGACUUGCUCGUGGAGCUGAAAUCAGUCGAAGAUACCAGCUGGCUGCAACUGUUUAUUAAAAACACAGCACUGUGCAAACACGAAAGUGGACGUAUACGGUGUGACGCCUGCCCGGUGCCGGAAGGUUAAUUGAUGGGGUUAGCGGUAACGCGAAGCUCUUGAUCGAAGCCCCGGUAAACGGCGGCCGUAACUAUAACGGUCCUAAGGUAGCGAAAUUCCUUGUCGGGUAAGUUCCGACCUGCACGAAUGGCGUAAUGAUGGCCAGGCUGUCUCCACCCGAGACUCAGUGAAAUUGAACUCGCUGUGAAGAUGCAGUGUACCCGCGGCAAGACGGAAAGACCCCGUGAACCUUUACUAUAGCUUGACACUGAACAUUGAGCCUUGAUGUGUAGGAUAGGUGGGAGGCUUUGAAGUGUGGACGCCAGUCUGCAUGGAGCCGGCCUUGAAAUACCACCCUUUAAUGUUUGAUGUUCUAACGUUGGCCCCUGAUCGGGGUUGCGGACAGUGUCUGGUGGGUAGUUUGACUGGGGCGGUCUCCUCCUAAAGAGUAACGGAGGAGCACGAAGGUUGGCUAAUCCUGGUCGGACAUCAGGAGGUUAGUGCAAUGGCAUAAGCCAGCUUGACUGCGAGCGUGACGGCGCGAGCAGGUGCGAAAGCAGGUCAUAGUGAUCCGGUGGUUCUGAAUGGAAGGGCCAUCGCUCAACGGAUAAAAGGUACUCCGGGGAUAACAGGCUGAUACCGCCCAAGAGUUCAUAUCGACGGCGGUGUUUGGCACCUCGAUGUCGGCUCAUCACAUCCUGGGGCUGAAGUAGGUCCCAAGGGUAUGGCUGUUCGCCAUUUAAAGUGGUACGCGAGCUGGGUUUAGAACGUCGUGAGACAGUUCGGUCCCUAUCUGCCGUGGGCGCUGGAGAACUGAGGGGGGCUGCUCCUAGUACGAGAGGACCGGAGUGGACGCAUCACUGGUGUUCGGGUUGUCAUGCCAAUGGCACUGCCCGGUAGCUAAAUGCGGAAGAGAUAAGUGCUGAAAGCAUCUAAGCACGAAACUUGCCCCGAGAUGAGUUCUCCCUGAGACUUUAAGUCUCCUGAAGGAACGUUGAAGACGACGACGUUGAUAGGCCGGGUGUGUAAGCGCAGCGAUGCGUUGAGCUAACCGGUACUAAUGAACCGUGAGGCUUAACCUU